RNAcentral lists this ribosomal RNA (745 nucleotides) under uncultured Anaerococcus sp. Its description in RNAcentral is "bacterial SSU rRNA". It matches the Rfam family "Bacterial small subunit ribosomal RNA", at positions 28 to 776 of the family's 1533-position model. Lineage: Bacteria; Bacillati; Bacillota; Tissierellia; Tissierellales; Peptoniphilaceae. The record is from RNAcentral.
GAUAAACGCUGGCGGCGUGCAUAACACAUGCAAGUCGAACGAUGAAACUUAGCUGAUUUCUUCGGAAUGAAAUUAAGUGGAUUAGUGGCGAACGGGUGAGUAACACGUGAGUAACCUGCCUUACACAAGGGGAUAGCCUUUGGAAACGAAGAAUAAUACCCUAUAAAGUUAGUCAAUCGCAUGGUAGACUAACCAAAGAUUUAUCGGUGUAAGAUGGACUUGCGUCUGAUUAGCUAGUUGGUGAGAUAAAAGCCCACCAAGGCGACGAUCAGUAGCCGGCUUGAGAGAGUGUACGGCCACAUUGGGACUGAGACACGGCCCAAACUCCUACGGGAGGCAGCAGUGGGGAAUUUUGCACAAUGGGGGAAACCCUGAUGCAGCGACGCCGCGUGAUUUAGAAGGCCUUCGGGUUGUAAAAAUCUUUUUUAUGGGAUGAAAAUGACAGUACCAUAAGAAUAAGGUCCGGCUAAAUACGUGCCAGCAGCCGCGGUAAUACGUAUGGACCGAGCGUUGUCCGGAAUCAUUGGGCGUAAAGGGUACGUAGGCGGCCUAGUAAGUUAGAAGUGAAAUAAUAUAGCUCAACUAUAUAAAGCUUUUAAAACUGUUAGGCUUGAGAGAUGAAAGGGAAAGUGGAAUUCCUAGUGUAGCGGUGAAAUGCGCAGAUAUUAGGAAGAAUACCGGUGGCGAAGGCGACUUUCUGGUCAUCAUCUGACGCUGAGGUACGAAAGCGUGGGUAGCAAACAGG